Manis pentadactyla (Chinese pangolin) is the source of this 302-nucleotide long non-coding RNA. RefSeq lists it as uncharacterized. The transcript is spliced from 2 exons. The record is from RefSeq and is a predicted model, not a curated record. Lineage: Eukaryota; Metazoa; Chordata; Mammalia; Pholidota; Manidae.
CCGCGCGGGCGGGCGCGUCCCCUGGGCGGGUCACCGCGGGCCGGUCCCGGGGGCGCCUGCCGCGCUCUCCCCUGCCGGAGCCGCGUCCCUCUCCGGGCCGAGAAGCGGGCUGAGGACUGGACCUGGCACAUCGUGGCCUCCCAGGAGAUGUUUGCUGAGGAAAGUAAUUACGAAAAAGAGAAGAAAUGCACAGGAAAGAGAAAAAAGAAAAACCGUUUUACCAGCCCCGGACAAACUCAGCUGAGAAACUGCUCCCCAUUUUCACCCCCAUGAUUUAUAAUUAUACUCUGUCCUUAAUUGUG